RNAcentral lists this ribosomal RNA (511 nucleotides) under uncultured bacterium. RNAcentral describes it as "bacterial SSU rRNA". It matches the Rfam family "Bacterial small subunit ribosomal RNA", at positions 830 to 1340 of the family's 1533-position model. The record is from RNAcentral.
GCAAAGCCCAUCGGUGCCGCAGCAAACGCAGUAAGUAUCCCACCUGGGGAGUACGUUUGCAAGAAUGAAACUCAAAGGAAUUGACGGGGACCCGCACAAGCGGUGGAGCAUGUGGUUUAAUCUGAAGCAACGCGAAGAACCUUACCAAGUCUUGACAUCCCCCUGACCGGCCCGUAACGGGGCCCUUCCUUCGGGACAGGGGAGACAGGUGGUGCAUGGUUGUUGUCAGCUUGUGUCGUGAGAUGUUGGGUUAAGUCCCGCAACGAGCGCAACCCUUAUCCCCAGUAGCCAGCAGGUUAAGCUGGGCACUCUGAGGAGACUGCCAGGGACAACCUGGAGGAAGGUGGGGAUGACGUCAAAUCAUCAUGCCCCUUAUGAUUUGGGCUACACACGUGCUACAAUGGCGUAUACAGAGGGAAGCGAGAGGGUGACCUGGAGCCAAUCCCAAAAAAGACGUCCCAGUUCGGACUGUGGUCUGCAACCCGACCACACGAAGCUGGAAUCGCUAGUA